This 389-nucleotide ribosomal RNA is filed under the name Papio cynocephalus (Yellow baboon). RNAcentral's name for it is "partial 12S ribosomal RNA". It matches the Rfam family "Bacterial small subunit ribosomal RNA", at positions 794 to 1384 of the family's 1533-position model. The record is from RNAcentral. Lineage: Eukaryota; Metazoa; Chordata; Mammalia; Primates; Cercopithecidae.
GCUUGGCCCUAAACCUCAAUAGUUAAAAUAACAAAACUAUUCGCCAGAAUACUACAAGCAACAGCUUAAAACUCAAAGGACUUGGCGGUGCUUCAUACCCCCUAGAGGAGCCUGUUCUGUAAUCGAUAAACCCCGAUCCACCCCACCCUCUCUUGCUUAGUCUAUAUACCGCCAUCUUCAGCAAACCCUGAUGAGGGCUACAAAGUGAGCGCAAAUGCCUUCCCCGCAAAAACGUUAGGUCAAGGUGUAACUUAUGAGACGGUAAAAAUGGGCUACAUUUUCUACUUCAAAAAACCCCACGAUAGCUCUUAUGAAAUCUAGGAGCCCAAGGAGGAUUUAGCAGUAAAUUAAGAAUAGAGUGCUUAAUUGAACUAGGCCAUAAAGCACGC